UUCAGUUUGUGAUAUUCAACAAGCUUUUUAAUUCAAGACUUUAGGCAUUGAUUUUGUUCCAUAUUAAAACUCCAACUCAAGUGAAUGGCAGAGUCACUGACAGCGUAAUAUAGAAAAAUCCAUCAGAAGCUCUUCAUAGUGGUGAUCCAGUAUGAGUGGCAACUCUGAUCCAGUGCAAGGAUGAACAGAGAGCAAUGUUGGCCUACUGGGCCCUAUUUGUUCUUAAAUCUACUUUAAGUGUAUAAAUGAGACAAAAUAUUGUGCAAAAGCUG
Molecule: non-coding RNA, 272 nt
Organism: Danio rerio (zebrafish)
Lineage: Eukaryota; Metazoa; Chordata; Actinopteri; Cypriniformes; Danionidae
Source: RefSeq, a predicted model, not a curated record